This 254-nucleotide ribosomal RNA is filed under the name uncultured bacterium. RNAcentral describes it as "partial 16S ribosomal RNA". It matches the Rfam family "Bacterial small subunit ribosomal RNA", at positions 524 to 776 of the family's 1533-position model. The record is from RNAcentral.
UACGGGGGGGGCAAGCGUUGUUCGGAAUUACUGGGCGUAAAGAGCUCGUAGGCGGCUCAGUAAGUCAGGUGUGAAAACUCCAGGCUCAACCUGGAGACGCCACUUGAUACUGCUGUGGCUAGAGUCCGGUAGGGGAGCAUGGAAUUCCUGGUGUAGCGGUGAAAUGCGCAGAUAUCAGGAGGAACACCAGUGGCGAAGGCGGUGCUCUGGGCCGGAACUGACGCUGAGGAGCGAAAGCGUGGGGAGCAAACAGG